Small nucleolar RNA from Cheilinus undulatus (humphead wrasse), 67 nucleotides. RefSeq annotates it as small nucleolar RNA U54. Lineage: Eukaryota; Metazoa; Chordata; Actinopteri; Labriformes; Labridae. The transcript has a single exon. The record is from RefSeq and is a predicted model, not a curated record.
UGAGCUAUGAGGAUAAAAUUAUUACCCGAUGAACCCUGAAGACGGUAUACGCUAUUCUGAGCCAAGG